UACGUAGGGUGCAAGCGUUAUCCUGAUUUACUGGGUUUAAAGGGUGCGUAGGUGGGUUGGUAAGUCAGUGGUGAAAUCCCCGAGCUUAACUUGGGAACUGCCAUUGAUACUAUCAGUCUUGAAUACCGUGGAGGUCGGCGGAAUAUGUCAUGUAGCGGUGAAAUGCUUAGAUAUGACAUAGAACACCAAUUGCGAAGGCAGCUGACUACGCGAGUAUUGACACUGAGGCACGAAAGCGUGGGGAUCAAACAGG
RNAcentral lists this ribosomal RNA (253 nucleotides) under uncultured bacterium. RNAcentral's name for it is "partial 16S ribosomal RNA". It matches the Rfam family "Bacterial small subunit ribosomal RNA", at positions 524 to 776 of the family's 1533-position model. The record is from RNAcentral.